UUUAAUUUAGUUGAUUGAAUUUUACUGAAACCGAUUCUUUCAAGAGGAAGAUAGCAGUGAUGAAUUGAACUUGCGCUCUCACUGAUACCUAUCUCAUACUCGAACGUAUUAGAUAAUAGACCUCUCAGCUCAUAAACAGUUUCCAGUUAGGGCCCAGUCUAAUUCCCUCCCCCAAACAGUAAAUUUAUUUCGAUAUGUUGAACGAUUGAAAUAUUGGCCAGAACCCGAAUCUAACGGACUUCAUUUUCUCGUUCUCGUUCUUCCUGCUACAACAGUCCCCUGCUGUAGACCGACAGUUGUCGUAGACGAUAGCUGGAGGUGGCCAACGGCUGUUACUUGAAAGCUUCACUUUCUUUUCGAAUGAGAUCGUAGCAAAUUCGGCAGCCAACCAGCUCUGUUACUGUGUUACUACCACCGUCCAGCAGGUUACAUAAUAUGUCACACUAGAAAACAUUCUGGUUUGCACCGAACAACGGGAGUUAAUACCUCAGCUACUAAAAACCGUUUCCAGUGGUUCCAUUUUAGAUUCUGGAAGAUGAUAUUUGAUUGGGAUUCGGACUGAGAUGAUUCAAUGUGUCAGUAAUCCGCCCUGUAGCACUAGUUCACUCGCUGUGUGAAUCAGGAGCAAUUGAGAAGGGAUUUGGUGUGUUUCUGGAAUGUGCCCCCUCUGUGAACUGGUUAGGUUUGUAUGAGUGUGGUAAGACAGGUUACGAACAAAGGAUAAUCGGGUAAUACCAACCAUACACAAAUAAGUGAUACGACUUCGAUGAAAAUGCCUAGUAGAUUCGACGUUUCCAAUCUCAUAGCUAAAUUGCGAUUGUUUUGAUGUAAGCAUUUCCGGUGGCUGAUCGGGGUUGGUCAAGUGGUUAACGGUAGUUUUAGGAAUGUAUCUUACCUACCUGCUGCCGAGAUAGCAAUUGGUCAACUUAUUAUUAUUAUUAUUUAACUUUAUUAAUGAGGCUUUCAGCCUUGGGCUGGUUCGCCUCCACUUGGUCAACUUGCAUAAUGAACUGUGCAUCUAAUUGCAGCAUGUAGAACCAACCGAUGUUUUAUAAAUCAAUAUGUUCCUUGCCAUUAUUUAACUCUUUACAUCUGUGGUCAACAUGGGCACCUUAUACAUAUGCCAAAAAAUCCUUGUUGAAUCCUAAUCAUAGGGUAGGAUGCUUGGUUUUGAUUUAUUGAAAUUGCAACUUUUAAACAAUUUAGGAAUCUUGCUAGCAAAACCUUUUCAAAAUAGUCCUUUGAAUUGAUCGUAGUGAAACCGGGGUUAAUCCCGCCAGUCUCUCGUAUUUAGAAAACCGACACAAGCCGAUGGUGGACGUGGCAACGUCUAAGAUCCUCUUCGGCGAGUUAUAGGUCUGCUUUUCGAGGCCAUGACCCCUUCGGUUCUUUGAAUCAGCGCACAUCGGGGAUUUUGUCCGUUUUGCCAUUUUGUACCGUCGUCUGCAACGUUGAGCAUAGCUAGGGCAUGUCGCCCUUCCUCUGGUUCACCAGAUCUUUCUGUGAGCUUCGUCCAGGUCUUCCAGUGCACUUCCUUCAGAUCUUCCUGUGGAUUUCAUGCAAAUAGUCCUGCGAACUUUCUCCAAGUAUUCCUGUGGAUUUCCUCUUUAUCUUCCUGUGGACUUUCUUCAGAUCUUCCUGUGGAUUUUCUCCAGAUAUACCUGUGGAUUUACUCCAAAUCAUCCUGUGGACUUUCCCCUGGUCUUCUUGUGGACUUUCUUCAGAUCUUCCUGUGGCCUUCCUAUGUAGACUUUCUCCAGAUCUUCUUGUGGACUUCCUCCAAAUAUUCCUGUAGUCUUCCUACAAAUCUUCCUGUGAACUUUCCCCAGAUCUUCUUGUGGACUCUCUCCAGAUCUUGCUGUGGACUUCCUCCAGAUCUUCCUGUGGUCUUCCUCCAAGUCUUCAUGUGGAUUUUCCCCAGAUUUUCUUGAGGACGUCCGGUCCUCCAGAUCUGCGUUUUUCAAUCGACGGGUCGCAACCCAUGUGGUGGAUCGCAACGCACUGUGGGAAUUUUGUCUUUUGCAAGCCGAUUCAAUGUCAAACAUUGUAUACACAUACAUCAUCAUAUUAUAUACAUAUCCAUACAACAUCUGUAUUUAAUAUUGAUUGGUUAGGAGUUUAUUAAAUUUCAAAAGAAGAAAAGCAAGAUUGAGAAACGUUGCUCCAGAUCUUCCUGUGGACUUAAUCCAGAUCUACCUGUGAGAUUCCUCCAGAUUGUCGUGUAGACUUCUUGCUGAUCUUCCUGUGGACUUCCUCCAGAUCUUCCGGUGGACUUCCUCCAGAUCUUUUAAUGAACUUCAUCCAUAUCUUCGUGUUUGCUUCUUCUAGAUCUUCGUGUGGACUUAUUUUAGAUCUUCUUUUAUCCACCUCUUUCUGUGGACUUACUCCAGAUGUUCCUGUUAGUUUUCUCGAGAUUUUCCUGUGGACUUCCUCCAGAUCUUUGUGUUGACUUCAACUAAAUCUUCAUACCGACUUCCUUCAUAGCUUCUUCCAGAUUUUCCUGUGGAUUUAUUCAAGAUCUUCCCGUGGACUUCCGCUAGAAGUACUAUCAUAUUUGAAAAUUUGAACUUCCUUUGUUACAUUUUAUAUUCACAGGCCAUCCUUUUGGACGCUCUACAAACUUUCUUUUAAUAUUUCUGAUUUUCUUGAAUCUCAACUCGUUUGAACUUGCUGUUGUACUUUGAUGAUCUUUGAACAUCCCGUUGGAAGUACCUCGAACAAACCGUUGGAAGUACCUCGAACAAACCGUUGGAAGUCCCUUCAACUUUCAAAUGAAAGCUCUUUGAACUUCCUUUUGGCAAUUUCCAGUUGAAAGAGCCUUGAACUUCCGGAGAAAGGUGGUUGAACUUUCUGGAGGAAGUUGCUUGAACUUUCCGCAGAAAAUUUGAACUUUUAGAAGGAAGCUGCUUGAAUUUUCCGUAUGAAGCUACUUGAUCUUUUCGGAGGAAGUUGCUUGUCUCCGGAGGAUGUUUCAUGAACUUUCCGGAAGAAAAUGCUUAAACUUUCCGGAGGAAGAUGGUUGAACUUUCCGGAGGAAGGUGGUUGACCUUUCAGGAGAAAGGUGUUGCUUGUCUCCGGAGGAAACUGCUUGAACUUUCCGGAGGAACGUGGUUGAAAUUUCAAGAGAAAAGUGGUUGAACUUUCCGGAGUAAAGUGGUUGAACUUUCCGGAGGAAGUUGCUAGAACUUCCCAAAGGAAGGUGGUUAAACUUUGCGGACGAAGGUAGUUAAACUUUCCGGAGGAAGCUGGUUGAACUUUCCGAAGGAAGCUGCUUGAACUUUCCGAAGGAAGUUGCUUGAACUCUCAGGAGGAUGUUUCUUGAACUUUCUGAAGAAGCUGCUUGAACUUUCCGGAGGAAGGUGGUUGACCAUUCCGAAGGAAGUUGCUUGAAUUUUCUCGAGGAAGUUGCUUGAACUUUUCGGAGGAAGUUGCUUCAACUUUUCGGAUGAAGGUAUUUGAAAUUUCUGGAGGAAGUUGCUUGAACUUUCCGAAGGAAGUUGCUUGAACUUUCCGAAGGAAGUUGCUUGAACUUUCCGGAGGAUGUUUUAAAAACUUUCCGAAGGAAGUUGUUUGAACUUUCCGGAGGAAGGUGGUUGAACUUUCCACAGGAAGGUGGUUAAUUUUUCUGGAGGAAGUUGCUUGAACUUUUCGGAUGAAGGUAUUUGAAAUUUCCCGAGGAAGUUGCUUGAACUUUUCGGAUGAAGGUAUUUGAAAUUUCCGGAGAAAGUUGCUUGAACUUUCCGAAGGAAGUUGCUUGAACUCUCCGGAGGAUGUUUUAAGAAUUUCUGGAGAAAAGUGGUUGAACUUUCCGGAUGAAGUUGCUUGAACUAUACGGAGAAAGUAGGUUGAACUUUCCGGAGAAUGGUGGUUGAACUUUCCGCAGGAAGGUGGUUAAAUUUCUGUAAGAAGUUGCUUCAACUUUUCGGAUGAAGGUAUUUGAAAUUUCCGGAGGAAGUUGCUUGAACUUUCCGAAGGAAGUUGCUUGAACUUUCCGGAGGAUGUUUUAAAAACUUUCCGAAGGAAGUUGUUUGAACUUUCCGGAGGAAGGUGGUUGAACUUUCCACAGGAAGGUGGUUAAUUUUUCUGGAGGAAGUUGCUUGAACUUUUCGGAUGAAGGUAUUUGAAAUUUCCCGAGGAAGUUGCUUGAACUUUUCGGAUGAAGGUAUUUGAAAUUUCCGGAGAAAGUUGCUUGAACUUUCCGAAGGAAGUUGCUUGAACUCUCCGGAGGAUGUUUUAAGAAUUUCUGGAGAAAAGUGGUUGAACUUUCCGGAUGAAGUUGCUUGAACUAUACGGAGAAAGUAGGUUGAACUUUCCGGAGAAUGGUGGUUGAACUUUCCGCAGGAAGGUGGUUAAAUUUCUGUAAGAAGUUGCUUCAACUUUUCGGAUGAAGGUAUUUGAAAUUUCCGGAGGAAGUUGCUUGAACUUUCCGAAGGAAGUUGCUUGAACUUUCCGGAGGAUGUUUUAAGAACUUUCCGAAGGAAGUUGCUUGAACUUUCCGGAGGAAGGUGGUUGAACUUUCCGGAUGAAGUUGAUUGAACUAUACCAAGAAAGGUGGUUGAACUUUCCGGAGAAUGGUGGUUGAACUUGCCGCAGGAAGGUGGUUAAAUUUCUGGAGGAAAUUGCUUGAAGUUUUCGGAUGAAGGUAUUUGAAAUUUCAGGAGAAAGUUGCUUGAACUUUCCGAAGGAAAUUUGCUUGAACUCUCCGGAGGAUGCUCAUGCUGAUGUUCAUGAUGUUUUUCCGGAUGAAGUUGCUUGAACUAUACUGAGAAUGGUGGUUGAACUUUCCACAGGAAGGUGGUUAAAUUUUCUGGAGGAAGUUGCUUGAACUUUUCGGAUGAAGGUAUUUGAAAUUUCCCGAGGAAGUUGCUUGAACUCUCCGGAGGAUGUUUCAUGAACUCUCCGGAGGAUGUUUCAUGAAGUUCCUUUAAAUUCCCGUAGGAAGUUCAUUUAAAUUCCAUUCGAAAGUUUCUUUAACUUCUCUCUGGUCAUGGUUUGAACUUCACUCUGGUAGGAAGUUCCUAGAGUUCCUUGAACUUCGAUUCGCAAGUUGUUUGAACAUCCCCAAAAGAAGGUUCUUAAGCUAUCCGUAGGAAGUUCCUUGAGCUGGGUUUACGGCAUUUUGGGGCUACAAAGAAACAUAUCCUAACCACUACCGUUACCAAUCGACCGUCCAUUAGUGUACAUCCGUUGCCUGCGGUGGAAUCUCUUCAAAGAAAGGUAAAAUGAAACGUGGCGUAAGUUGAAACCGAUUUAUUGAUUCAUAUGAUGCACACUUCAGCCCCUUUAGUGCGCAUCGAUCGAUUGGUGUAAUAAUAUAUAU
This is a long non-coding RNA of Ochlerotatus camptorhynchus, 5320 nucleotides long. RefSeq lists it as uncharacterized. The record is from RefSeq and is a predicted model, not a curated record. NCBI's taxonomy places the organism in Eukaryota, Metazoa, Arthropoda, Insecta, Diptera, Culicidae. The transcript has 2 exons.